CUGCAGAGAAUACAGAUGGUGAAUGUCCAAUUUGAACACGUUAAUCCAGCCUAAGUCAGUUUUUUUUCUUUCACCAAAGCUUCAAUAUGCAUCUGAUCUCAGGAUAUUGGAUUUUUCUUUGAGGCAAAGUGGGAAGUGAGCAUGAGAUUCUUAAGCAUGCUUCUGUGGGACUCUUUUAAAUACUGAUUGCAAGAUCUGUAGAGCAGGGACUGUGUCCAGCUCUGUGCGCACACCAGAGCCUAGUGUAAUAGUGCCUGGAUUCUGAUCAGGGUCUCUGGACCUUAUAUUAUAGUGAGUAUUAAUUAAUUAAUUAAUAUUAAUAAAAACUCAUUCCAACCUAAAAUACCCCAGCCCCUUUUAAACAGAUAUCUUUUACUCCAAUUACUUUUAAUGUAAGGUUAAUGCAAUUUCUUCUUGUAUUCUGUUUAUUAGCCCCUGAUUCAACCCUGGGAAUAAUCUCACAUUCUCUCACUUUCCCACUUUACACAUUCCAGUAUGUCCUGUGUUCUUAACUUUGAUCAGAGUACAGCUUUGCUAUUCUCCAGUUUAAUUUUUCAAGCAGUCUCAUUCAUUUCAAUUAAAGUUAUGAGGAUCAGGCAAAUGCUGUACUUUUUAGGACUGAACCAAUGUCACCCAACUGGCAACUUUUUAAAGCAUAACUGAGACUUGCAUGUGGUAUGCGAAAAUGAUAGAUGAGAACAGAAUUAGACCUUUGUAUUUAGUCUGAAUGGGCCCAGUCCAAUUCUAAUUUAAGUUGAUGGAAAGAUUUCAGUGAGAUUUGGAUCCAGUCCUGACAAAGGGGACAACUGGAAAAAAAAGUGGCUUAUUGUUAUAGGUUACAUAAACAGGACUGGUUAAGUUUCUCCCUUUUCAUUAUAAAGUUCCUCUAUGCCCCUUCCUUGUUAAUGAUUUUAACCUUUUGUGUAUUCAUUGCAGCUUAGGCAGCUUCAUGAUUAUUUCAUUUUUCCAGUUUACUUAAUUUUUCUUUGCAUUUCUGUCCAUUAGGGUUUUUAAACAGUAGAACCUUAAAGUUACAAACAUGAGUUAAGAACUGACCUGUCAACCACACACCUCAUUUGGAACCAGAAGUACGCAAUCAGGCAGCAACAGAGACCCCCCCCCCCCAAAAAAAAAAAAAAAAAAAAGCCAAUACAGCACAGUAUUGCGUUAAACGUAAACUAC
This is a long non-coding RNA of Chelonia mydas (Green sea turtle), 1182 nucleotides long. RefSeq lists it as uncharacterized. The transcript has 3 exons. The record is from RefSeq and is a predicted model, not a curated record. NCBI's taxonomy places the organism in Eukaryota, Metazoa, Chordata, Testudines, Cheloniidae.